This 253-nucleotide ribosomal RNA is filed under the name uncultured bacterium. RNAcentral's name for it is "partial 16S ribosomal RNA". It matches the Rfam family "Bacterial small subunit ribosomal RNA", at positions 524 to 776 of the family's 1533-position model. The record is from RNAcentral.
UACGAAGGGGGCUAGCGUUGCUCGGAAUCACUGGGCGUAAAGCGCACGUAGGCGGAUCUUUAAGUCAGGGGUGAAAUCCUGGAGCUCAACUCCAGAACUGCCUUUGAUACUGAGGAUCUUGAGUUCGGGAGAGGUGAGUGGAACUGCGAGUGUAGAGGUGAAAUUCGUAGAUAUUCGCAAGAACACCAGUGGCGAAGGCGGCUCACUGGCCCGACACUGACGCUGAGGCACGAAAGCGUGGGGAGCAAACAGG